UACUUCUGCCCUCCUGGCUGUUUGUGGCAGCCAGAGAGCACCUGAUUCUUGUAUCCCAGACCUUAAACCACAGCCUGGCAGCCUCCAAGGGAUCCUCCCUGCUUGGGGUGCUGUUUGUGGGACUGCUGGUGGCUCUGGAUCCCAAGGAGCGUUCCCAUCCCAUCACCACCGGCUGCCAGCAUCGGGAUCACGGCCACCCAGGGAGUUGGACAUCACGGAGCUGGACACACGCCAGGGAGCCGACUCGCUUCUGACACCGAGCUCAGUCUCCAAACAUAAAAGAAGAGAAAGUCAGGACAGAAAAGCAUUGGAGCUUUCUUCUUCCUCCACACCUGCUGUUCCUGGUCGUCAGGCACUUCCAAAGAGGAGAGUUCUCCAAGUUCCCAGUCAUUACCCUUUACAUAAGCAUAAUAUAGUGCUGCACUUCCUACAGGGAAGCUAUCUAUUGUAGCAAUCUGUAAAACAAAAGCUGGAUUGCUCCUUCUCCCAUUGCUCCCAGAAUCAAAAAGCUGCCUGCUGUUCCUCAAAUGGGAAGGCUGAAAGCCUUCAUCAGAGGGUAGUUCAUUUUUACACGACAUUUUUACACUCAAGCAAAACUGAAAGCAAGGCAUAAUUUGAAACAGCCAUGCUCGCCGUUAGAGCAGAACCACACAAAUAAAAUGCCUGGGAUGAUGGAGUUGAAUAUGUUGCAGUCAGAAAAAUGACAGCUUGCAGGGAACGAGGAAAACUAGAUGGAUGAAUGGGAAUUAGUGAGGAGCAGACUUCCAAGGCAGACAAAUCAAAUUGAGAGCGUGGAUCAUUAGAUUCAAAGGAAGCAGGUAAGGAGUGCACUAAAUUGUACCUUAAACAACAAACCGAGGGCCCCAGCCUCCAGGGAGAGGGGAUGGAACAGGGCUGGGGAUAUGGGAGUGGCUCCCAGGUGUGUCCUGGCCACUGGCAUUGUGACCUCACCCAGGUCACUGUGUCCUUCACAUCAGCUCCUGUGCUGUGGGGCAUGGCAGGCACUGGACAUAGAGGAUGCUUUGAAGAUCUGCAGAUGUGCCCAGCUCCAGAGGAGACAGCUGAAGCCUUUCUGGAUGGCCUGUCCUGGCACCUGUCACCUUUCAGGGCUGUCACUGAUAUCCAUUGUAUGGAGCUGGCUCUUUGCCUGUUUUUUUUUUUUUUUUCCCAGAAAAAAAAAGGUGAAGAGAUAUACAAAGGGAGAAAUUACUGUGUUGUUGAAUUUUUCAAAAUUAACUGUGCACAAUUAUACCCAAGGAAGUGGGCUGGAAGAAAGACACUUCACAUACAGCAGCUCUUUGCAGAUGUGAGAAAAUGUGGCAUGGUUUGGACCUGCCAGGAAACAGCUGAGCUGGGGGAAUUUGUGUAUUUUAAAAAUAAAGCUCAUGCUUUUCUUGGACAAACUUUCAGGUCACUGUAACACAGAACCGAAGGUCACAAUUUCUAAGAAGAUUAUGAAAUGCCCCAGAUGCUCAGUGUGACAGUCUAGACAAGGCAGCCAAGGGAGAAAUGCUGAAGGAAGUUCCUGGGAUUGGUACAGGAAAGGAGAGCCCGCAGGAUGGAAAACUCCACACAGAGCUUCCCUUGGUGCUCCUGCCUGGACACUCUGCAGAGACUGGUCCCAGCUGAGUCCUGCUCAAGGAUAAAACUCAUGGUCACAGGGGAACUACUCCCAUUGGAAUCCCAUCUGGCUGAUUCCUCCAUUUCAGCUGAGGUGGAAGUGUCACUGGAUCUCACAGAGACGUGUGAAUGGAAUGAUAAGGAAAGCUCUCCAGCAGGAGCUGAAAAGCACCACCCUUGCUGGGAGUAUAAGCCAACAGAUGCUUUACAAAAGCAAAAGUGAUCUGAUCAUUCCCACAAGAACCAUAGAAUCAUAAAACUGUGGAAUGGUUUGGGUUGGAAGGAACCUUAAAGCCCAUCCAGUCCCACCCCUGCCAUGGGCAGGAACACCUUCCACUGUCCCAGGCUGCUCCAAAUCCUGUCCCAGCUGGCCUUGGGCACUUUCAGAGAUGGGGCAGCCACAGCUUCUCUGGGCACCCUGUGCCAGGGCCAUUUUAUAAACCUGAUAUUAGUGCUGUGUAAUUGAGGGAAAGGCAUCCUCUGCUGUUCCAGGUUAUCCAUUGUUAUCCCAGGUUUAGCUGCUUGAAGCUCUUACUGAGCUGCCCUGAUCUGAACAUGGCAGUUGUGAGGAUUCUUCUCCCCUUCGUGUCCUAAUGUCUAUUUUAUCAAAGGCUUUAUUGUUGAAGAUGUUCAGCAUGUCCAGAGCUUUCCCAUCCCCUUGGCAGCCUCCCACAUUUCGCCCUGCCAUCAAUCCCAUCCUAAUUCGCUUGCCAUGCAAGGUGCUCCCCUGCUGGUUUAGUUGGCCAGCCUGGGAUGUGGUUCCUUCCAGCAGCUCUUAAGAAAACCCUUGCACAUCUUUUCCUUCAUUUUAUCCUCUUUUUCCUUUUAGCUCUGGUUGUUUGCAGCAGGCUCUGGCAGCUGUAAAUGUUAGUUAAAGCCUUAUUGAUGCCCGGUGCUUUCCAGCCGCCUGGUGCAGCAGUUUAUUUGGGUCUCUGGUGAUGUUUAGAGAUGCAUUUCCUCUCAUCUCUCCCAGCUAUAUUUUACUGUUUGCUCAUUUGCUUGAUGACAGUUUGCUGCUGGGUUUUGGAAGAGCUUUGCAGUGCAUUAUCUUGUGAGUUAAUCCUGACCUGUUUCCUUGGCUCCUGCAGCUGCCCUGGCACGUCCUGAGCCGGACGCUGCCGCUGUCAGGAAUUUUCUGCCAGGUCUUUGCUGUCAAUAUUUUUGGCCAUUGCUCUGUGUCAGUCAUGUCUGGAUUAAGCUCCCCUGUGAUAUCCUGAGGGCGAGAUGAGCUGUGUCACUGCACAGGGGAUCAGCCUUGGUGCUGUUGGGGAGGUUCCUGAGGGUUGGAGAAGCUCCAACCCACGGGGUCUGUCUGGGAUGGUUCUUGCUACGAAUCUACGUUCUAUGAUUCUUGAGCUGUCCUAGGAGACUGCUUCACCUUUUUCAGGAUGAUUUAAGAGGAUGUGCUGUUCAGGAUUCCCACUCGAGUGUUAUUUAUUAGUUUUGUAGUGUCUUCCAGGCUGCUUUCUUCAGGCUAGUGUUGAUUCCUUGGGGACAAAGGAAACAAAGGCAGGAGAACGCUCGCAGGAGGGAUAAAACAGGAGUCUGACUGAUAUCUUCUCUCUCUUUCUCCAUGGUGUUUUUUCACAGAUCAAAAAUCAAUUAAGGGCGAAUUUCACUGGGAACUCUUUAAACAAUGUGAUAUUUCAUUAGAGAUUAUUGCAGGCUCUUUAACAUUUGCAGUCCAGGUGUGAAUUACAAAAUUAGCCAGAUUCCUUUAAUGAUUUCCUCCUAGGUAACAUUCCUCCAAGCACCCUGUGUCUGGAGCAAGCUGUGCAGCUGCUGCUGGAGAAGGGGUGUUUAUUGCCUCCCCCCACGUCCUGAUGGAGACACAGGACUGGAGGAAUGGUUUUGAUUGAGACAGCAGCCUGGCUGGGCACAGGGCUGUGGCCUGGAAGAUGAAAAAUGAAGGAAAUAAGAGUGGAAUGCUGUAAGAGAGGUAGAGAGGAGCUUGGAGAUGAGCAGAUUUGGAGUUUUUUUUCUGCAAUCCCUUCUUGAGCUGUUACCAGCACAAGCUUGUGCCUUUUUGAGACUUCCCUAUGGCUUUCCAGGUCCUUCCCUUGCUCCUGGAUCUGUCCCUGCUGCCAUCUGAACCCCACAGCACAGAGACAGAAGCACUCUGGAGGUGCCAGUGAGCUUUCACUGCCAUCUGGAUUUCUUGGGACACAGCACUCCUUCAAACCCUUCCCCUCCUGAAGGCACAAAGAGCUGAGCAGUCUGAGUCCUCUGCUCCAGUGCAACUCCCUCUCCAUCAUUAAUCCUGCCUGGAACUUGCCCUUUUCAGUGCCCAUUCCCUCCCUCGUCCAUCUUGCCUUAUUCACAGCCCAGUUAUUGAUCCUUAUUUGGGGCUCAUCUGUCUUAGUGAGCUCGGGGAGCCACCCCUGGCAGGGAGAGGAGCACCUUUCAUUGCUUUCAGGGUGCUGUGGUUGGGUGGGAGGGAAAUGGGUGAGAUUUGGGAUGCACCACUGCAGGUUUGAUCCCGCGGUUGCAUUUCCUGAGUGCUGACUGCUCUCCCCACCUGAGCACCUGCUCUUCUUGGAGAUGCUGCUUUUCCCUGCAAAAUUUUCCUUUCCUCUUCUCCUAAAACCAUCUGAGCUGCUGCAACAGCCCCACUACAGCAGCUCAGCCUCUCCUCCCUCUCCCUUGAAGUCAGCAGGACCAGGAUUGGUCCUCAGGGCUCCUGUAGAACCACGUACAUCUGUGUUUGUCCCACUCUGCCUCCCUUUUCCCAUUUCUUGUCCCCUCACCACAGUUCUGCCUGCAUUCUUCUCUCUCUGCACAGCUCUGCCCUGCCCCAGGAGAUGAUGGAAGGUUCCUUUGCUCACUGCAGUGAGGAAAGGCAGCUGAUAAAACCCCACCACCCUCUGCACUGACCAUAAUUGCUUUCCUGGAGAACAGGGGGGAGAGGCAAACAGUUCUGAUACUUUCCUUGAAUACUCUCUUGGGCCCUAAUUAUUUUCAGCUUAGGAUAUUUUCUGUGUCAGGGAAGACUCAUCUGUCUAAUAAUCCUUGCUGGAUUUCGUUUCCAAGUAUUUACCCAGCCCUGCCUUGAGCCACAUAAACUUUCCAACUCCCUUUCCUCAUAGCCAUCUUCCCUGAUUUGCUGUGGAUCCCCUGGAUUGCUUCCCUCUCCUUGUUCUGGGGCUGGACCAGGUGGUUAAGGAGCAAUUGUGCACCUGAAGGGAGGUUGUGGCAAGGUGAGGUCAGGCUCUGCUCCCAGGCAGUGACAGGAAAAGAGGAAAUGGCCUUGAGCUGUGCCAGGUUGGACACCAGGAGGAAUUUCUUCAUGGAAAAGGUUGUUAAACAUUGGGAGAGGCUGCCCAGGGAGGUUUGGAGUCCCCAUCCCUGGAGGUGUCCAAGGAACCCCUGGAUGUGGCACUCAGAGCUCUGGGCUGGUGACAAGGUGGUGAUCCAUCACAGCUUGGCCUCAAUGGUCUUGGAGGACUUUUCCAACCUCAAUGAUCCUAGGAUUCUGUGAUCCUCCCACACUCCUCCAGUGACUCAAGAUUUUUGAAUCCCCUUCUCCUGCCUCUUUUCUAGGCUGCAGCAUCCCAACCCAUUGGGUUGCUCUUCAUGGAAAAGCGUUUCCAGACCUUGUAUAAUUCCUGCUGUCCUUCCAGGAACCUUUCCUUCUGAAUUCCUCCUGCUUUGCACUGCUGGAGCCAUGCAGGGACACAUCCACAUAGCUCACCUGCAGAGUUUUGGGGUACUUUGUGUUGCUUGAAGGAGCUGCAUGUUUUGGAGGAGCUGGCCCUUACUUGUGAAGGUUUCUAUUACAUGAACCUUUUCAGCAAAGUGCCCUUUUUUAUGAAUCCUGAAAGAGAACUCUCUGCAGCUUCCAAUUACAAUCCUGGCUGCAUCUUACUUGAAUGGUGUUUACUAUUUAGGGUGCAUUUGAAAAAGCAUUUUGGGAGGCAUCUUUCAAUUCAUUUGUAGUGGCUAACAUUAUCCCUAAUGCUGGAGGAAAUUAAAAAAUGCUUCUUGCUUAGAGGCAAUGAGUUGAAAUGAAAAUGUGCUGUGUGCUGGUCCAUGGCAACAUCACUGAAAUGUCUGGAUGUGGUGCCAGGUGCUGCUCUGAGAGUUCAGCUGUGCCCAGAAUGACCUGGAGUAUCUUUGGUGGCCUUUGAUGGCAGAGCUGGGUGACCAAGCUGGGUCUGCUCUGGGGAAUCUGCUGAAGCUGCUCAGUGCAUCCAGUGUUUACACAGAUAAUUUAGUUCAGAUGGGCUGGUGGGGUCAUGUGGGCACAGCUGUGUGCCCUGAGUGCAAGAGAGACACUGAGGGGCUGGAGCAUGGCCAGGGAAGAGAACAGAGCUGGGGAAGGGAAUGGAGCACCAGGAGAGGCUGAGGGAGCUGGGAAGGGGCUCAGCCUGGAGCAAAGGAGGCUCAGGGGGGAUUUUGUGGCUCUGCACAACUCCUGACAGGAGGGGACAGCUGGGGGUGGUCGGGCUCUGCUCCCAGGGAACGGGACAGGAGGAGAGGAAAUGAGCUCAGGCUGUGCCAGGGGAGGUUCAGGUUGGACAUCAUAAGGAAUUUUUCCAUGGAAAGGGUGGGCAGGCCUUGGCAGGGGCUGCCCAGGAAGGUUUGGAGUCCCCAUCCCUGGAGGUGUCCAAGGAAUGUCUGGAUGUUGCACUCAGUACUCAAGGCUGGGUGACAAAGUGGGGAUUGGACACAGGUUGGACUCAAUGGUCUUGGAGGGCUUUUCCAACCUUUAUAAUUCCAUGAUGUGCCAUUUAUUCUCUUCACUGCUUGGAAGUCCAACAAAGUGCAAGGGGUAAAAGCUCAGGAGGGUUUGGUUUGGGGAGCUGUGGUUUCAUGAAAUCUCUGGUUAACCCUGUCAGGAGCACUGGCUUCAGAUCAGCUGCUGGAAUGCCGUUCCACCUCUGCUGAAUUACCCAGAUCUCAUGGAACAGUUUACAUUGGCUGAGGAAGAGGAGUCAGCCCAACACAAAACCUGUCCUGAUGUGGUCUGAGCAGGUUUGGGCCAGCAGUGAGAGCCUGAACUGGGCCAGUGUGUUAUGUCCCCUAUGAGGGGCAAUGGGACAGGACUGACAAUUCCAUCCAUGAUGCCUGAGAGUGUUUCUGUGCCUGUGUUCGUAUUUUCACCUUCCUGAAGGGAACGUGCACAAGUAGAUAAAAACCUGCUCUAGUGGAUUCCAGCAUUAAGUCAAGAGACUAUUGGAUUUUUUCAAGGGCUCACACAACUCUCCUAAAAAGCAGGUUGUUAUGUGUUAGUUUGGAGCCCUUUUGUUCAGCCUCAGGUGUUUUCAUUCCUUCAAGGUAUUUACUGAAAGGACAAGAAGAAAAUGACUCAAGGUGGCAUCAUGCAAAAAAUUCUGUGUUCAGCACAAGAGUGCUACAUUUUGGCUUUUCCUCCAGCAGAAGUGGGAUACCUUGCCCCUCUUUUGAGUCAAGUGUCAGAUUAGAAGAGUAGAAAGAGGAAGAAUAACCCCACUAAAUCAAAAUCACUCU
Molecule: long non-coding RNA, 7089 nt
Organism: Zonotrichia leucophrys gambelii
Lineage: Eukaryota; Metazoa; Chordata; Aves; Passeriformes; Passerellidae
Exons: 3
Source: RefSeq, a predicted model, not a curated record